Molecule: transfer RNA, 72 nt
Filed under: Dactylellina haptotyla CBS 200.50
Lineage: Eukaryota; Fungi; Ascomycota; Orbiliomycetes; Orbiliales; Orbiliaceae
Description: tRNA-Arg (TCG) (tRNA-Arg-TCG-1-1, tRNA-Arg-TCG-1-2)
Rfam family: tRNA
About the family: Transfer RNA (tRNA) molecules are approximately 80 nucleotides in length. Their secondary structure includes four short double-helical elements and three loops (D, anti-codon, and T loops). Further hydrogen bonds mediate the characteristic L-shaped molecular structure. tRNAs have two regions of fundamental functional importance: the anti-codon, which is responsible for specific mRNA codon recognition, and the 3' end, to which the tRNAs corresponding amino acid is attached (by aminoacyl-tRNA synthetases). tRNAs cope with the degeneracy of the genetic code in two manners: having more than one tRNA (with a specific anti-codon) for a particular amino acid; and 'wobble' base-pairing, i.e. permitting non-standard base-pairing at the 3rd anti-codon position.
Source: RNAcentral
GGUCGCGUGGCCUAAUGGCAAGGCGUCAGUUUUCGGCACUGAAGAUUGCGAGUUCGAUCCUCGUCGCGAUCA